GACGAACGCUGGCGGCGUGCUUAACACAUGCAAGUCGAACGGCAAGGCCCUGCUUUUGUGGGGUGCUCGAGUGGCGAACGGGUGAGUAACACGUGAGUAACCUGCCCUUGACUUUGGGAUAACUUCAGGAAACUGGGGUUAAUACCGGAUAGGAGCUCCUGCUGCAUGGUGGGGGGUGGAAAGUUUCGGCGGUUGGGGAUGGACUCGCGGCUUAUCAGCUUGUUGGUGGGGUAGUGGCUUACCAAGGCUUUGACGGGUAGCCGGCCUGAGAGGGUGACCGGCCACAUUGGGACUGAGAUACGGCCCAGACUCCUACGGGAGGCAGCAGUGGGGAAUAUUGCACAAUGGGCGGAAGCCUGAUGCAGCAACGCCGCGUGCGGGAUGACGGCCUUCGGGUUGUAAACCGCUUUCGCCUGUGACGAAGCGUGAGUGACGGUAAUGGGUAAAGAAGCACCGGCUAACUACGUG
RNAcentral lists this ribosomal RNA (468 nucleotides) under uncultured bacterium. RNAcentral describes it as "partial 16S ribosomal RNA". It matches the Rfam family "Bacterial small subunit ribosomal RNA", at positions 28 to 507 of the family's 1533-position model. The record is from RNAcentral.